This 442-nucleotide ribosomal RNA is filed under the name uncultured bacterium. Its description in RNAcentral is "partial 16S ribosomal RNA". It matches the Rfam family "Bacterial small subunit ribosomal RNA", at positions 338 to 795 of the family's 1533-position model. The record is from RNAcentral.
CCUACGGGCGGCAGCAGUGGGGAAUAUUGGGCAAUGGGCGAAAGCCUGACCCAGCAACGCCGCGUGAAGGAAGAAGGCCCUCGGGUUGUAAACUUCUUUUGUCAGGGACGAGCAGAUGACGGUACCUGUUGACUCAGCCACGGCUAACUACGUGCCAGCAGCCGCGGUAAUACGUAGGUGGCAAGCGUUGUCCGGAUUUACUGGGUGUAAAGGGCGUGUAGCCGGGGUAGCAAGUCAGAUGUGAAAUUCGAGGGCUCAACCCCGGAACUGCAUUUGAAACUGUUGGUCUUGAGUGUCGGAGAGGCAGGCGGAAUUCCGAGUGUAGCGGUGAAAUGCGUAGAUAUUAGGAGGAACACCAGUGGCGAAGGCGGCCUGCUGGACAGUAACUGACGGUGAGGCGCGAAAGCGUGGGGAGCAAACAGGAUUAGAUACCCGUGUAGUC